Molecule: non-coding RNA, 181 nt
Organism: Collimonas arenae
Lineage: Bacteria; Pseudomonadati; Pseudomonadota; Betaproteobacteria; Burkholderiales; Oxalobacteraceae
Source: Rfam
UCAUUCCUGCCGUGUUCGCGAUUGUCAUAAAAUCCUUGAACCAUUUAUACGCAACGGCUGCGGGAUUUUGUUCGACAGGUGUGAGCGUCGCUAGUCCGAUGAGCCCGAAGUUGAACUAACUGCGGCCAACUUGAAUCGCUUUGGUUCAGGAUGCCGACAAAGCGGCACAGGCGGGACUUUA